AGUGAACGCUGGCGGUAGGCCUAACACAUGCAAGUCGAACGGACGUAGCAAUACGUUAGUGGCGCACGGGAGAGUAACGCGUGGGAACCUACCUUUUGGUUCGGGAUAACAUCGGGAAAAUGGUGCUAAUACCGGAUAAGCCCUUCGGGGGCAAGAUUUAUUGCCGAAGGAUGGGCCCGCGUUGGAUUAGCUAUUUGGUGAGGUAAUGGCUCACUAAGGCAACGAUCCAUAGCUGGUCUGACAGGAUGAUCAGCCUCACUGGGACUGAGACACGGCCCAGACUCCUACGGGAGGCAGCAGUGGGGAAUAUUGGACAAUGGGGGAAACCCUGAUCCAGCCAUGCCGCGUGAAUGAUGAAGGCCUUCGGGUUGUAAAGUUCUUUUGGUGGUGACGAUGAUGACGGUACCCACAGAAUAAGCUCCGGCUAACUUCGUGCCAGCAGCCGCGGUAA
RNAcentral lists this ribosomal RNA (451 nucleotides) under uncultured bacterium. Its description in RNAcentral is "partial 16S ribosomal RNA". It matches the Rfam family "Bacterial small subunit ribosomal RNA", at positions 29 to 523 of the family's 1533-position model. The record is from RNAcentral.